RNAcentral lists this long non-coding RNA (390 nucleotides) under Heterocephalus glaber (naked mole-rat). RNAcentral describes it as "lncRNA (ENSHGLG00100049478.1)". Lineage: Eukaryota; Metazoa; Chordata; Mammalia; Rodentia; Bathyergidae. The record is from RNAcentral.
UUACAAGUAAAUAACUUUGUUGUGGUACUGGGGAUUGAACUCAGGACCUUUGCACUGAGCUGUAUCUCUAGCUCUCUUUUAUGUUUUUAUUUUUAGACAAAGUCUUGGCAAGAAGCUUAAAUUGCCUAGGCUAGGCUUGAAUUAUUUGAUCCUUCUGCCUCAGCCUCGAAGAGUGCUAGGAUUACAGAUGCCUGUCUGAGCUAAGUAAUUUUUCAGCACCAGGGCUUUGGUGCUGUAAGACCAAGGGCCUUACCAAAUGCUCCGAGGAGCUGACUAUAGUGAAGCACACCCACGGAUCCCAGCGGUGCCUCCAGAAUGCAAGGCCAAGGGCCUUACCAAACGCUCCAAGGAGCUGGCUACUGCGAGGACCACCCGGGAAGGAACACACCG